UACCAAAUUCCGAGUGAAUCGCUUAACAAUUUUAAGAAAACUGUACAGAUUUUAAAAGUCGGUUUUCGGCAGGAAAUAAAAAUCGAAUUUUUUAUUUUUUACAAAAAGAAAAUCUUGUUCCCGAGAUACGCGGAAGCUGUACUCUGGAAACUUUAUUCGUUGGAAAGUCGUCAACCUUCAUGAUUCACAAAGCAUCGAUCUACUUCGAUGGAAGCGUAAAAAUAUGACUCGCGAAUCUCGUGCACACCAAGCGACAGCUCGUUCAUAAAUAUUUACGCUAUUGUAUUAAAAGAGAUAAUGGGAAGAAAAUGCAAAGACGAAGAGUGUCAGAUAAUACGAAAGAGCGUAUAGUAUUGAUAUGAAUAAUUAUGAACGAAGAGUACAGUCCAAACUCACAAUCAGUACAAUCCGAGGAGAGAACUUUGACAACACAGCUGGCGGAGAGAUAUUGAUUAUAUACAACGUCCACCUUUGCCAUAUUCACUUAUGCACAACUCUCAAGUUAUUUUCGACCUUGUGGCAUUGCGUUAACGUUAACGAUUGCGGUACGUCUCGGCGCAGAAUUUGUUCCUACAUGCAGCAAAGAGAUACAUUGGACUAUGCAAAUUAUGCCGUAAUGAUUACUAUUUA
This is a long non-coding RNA of Belonocnema kinseyi, 630 nucleotides long. RefSeq lists it as uncharacterized. The record is from RefSeq and is a predicted model, not a curated record. The transcript is spliced from 3 exons. Lineage: Eukaryota; Metazoa; Arthropoda; Insecta; Hymenoptera; Cynipidae.